GACGAACGCUGGCGGCGUGCUUAACACAUGCAAGUCGAACGGUAAGGCCCUUCGGGUACGACGAGUGGCGAACGGGUGAGUAACACGUGGUGAUCUGCCCUGCACUUCGGGAUAAGCCUGGGAAACUGGGUCUAAUACCGGAUAGGACUCCUGGCUUCAUGGUUGGGGUGUAAAGCUUUUGCGGUGUGGGAUGGGCCCGCGGCCUAUCAGCUUGUUGGUGGGGUAAUGGCCUACCAAGGCGACGACGGGUAGCCGGCCUGAGAGGGUGACCGGCCACACUGGGACUGAGAUACGGCCCAGACUCCUACGGGAGGCAGCAGUGGGGAAUAUUGCACAAUGGGCGCAAGCCUGAUGCAGCG
This 359-nucleotide ribosomal RNA is filed under the name uncultured bacterium. Its description in RNAcentral is "bacterial SSU rRNA". It matches the Rfam family "Bacterial small subunit ribosomal RNA", at positions 28 to 393 of the family's 1533-position model. The record is from RNAcentral.